GCCACCAGGCCUGGCCCUAUUACUCCUAUUAUCUCAGUUUCUUCAAAACUUGUAUUUAGCAGUUAGUAGGCAUUCAAAAAACAUUUGUUGCAGGAAACUUUACUUUUAGGUUAUCUAGUCUACACAUUUAUUUUACAGAUGGCAUAAGUACGGUCUCAAAAUAUUAAGUCAGUUAUAUCCAAAGUCCAGCAUUUAAUCAGUAGCAGAGUCAGGAUAGAACCUAAUGUUACUAAUUUCCAGCCAAGUUAAAUUGACUUCUAUUUCUACAUUUUUCUUUUCUUUUUCACUCAUGAUGUGGUGCCCAUUCUCUGUCCCUCUCUCCAUUUCUCCUUGCUUUCCUUUCCACAAUACCUAUGCUGGCUACACACUGGGAAUCUAAAAUGAACAAGACACGUUUCCUACUUUUAUACAUGCCUGAGACAUCCUGCCUCAGCUGACCUCUCUGAACCCACCCCAGUCCUGCCUGCUUAUGGCUACCUGACUGCACUGGCUAACUUCUCUGCCAAGAUCUACGGUUGCCUUCCUUUUCUUCUAGCCUUUUUACCCUUACAAGCAUUUUUCAACCUCUUGAUUUAUUAGUCAUCCUCUGCCCAUAAAUCAGGAUUUCCUACCUAGACCUCCUAUCCUUUGGGUCCCUACAUCCUACUGUGGUGUCCCGGUGCAGUGGGAGGUCUUAGGCACAGCUUGAAAUUCUGUCCUUUUGGUGGCUUUGCAGGUGGCCACCUGCUGGAGAGUGCAUGUCUCCACUGCCUUCCUCAACCUCUGCAUGUGGAGUCUGCACUUGACAAGAUCAAUGCAGCAUUCCUGCCUGCUGAGUUUCCUGGAUUUGCUGAGCUAAACAAGUUCAUUCGCACCCAGUUCCACCUGGGAUGAAGAUCCAUCUACAGGGCUGGAACUGACAGGGAAAACUUUUCAUCCCAUCUGAGGUCACCUUCACUUACAGGAUGCUGGCUGCUGAUAAGUAUCCUAUCAGGAGAAGAAGAGAAAAAUAAUUUGACACUUAUAGCCUGUCUUGAAAGAUGAGAUUCACUUAUCAGCAAACCAGAUGAAGAGAAUCACUGAGCACAGAAAUGAGAUCUGAGCACACUAGAGCUCAACUAAUGUAUCCCUGCCCACACAGGGUUAGUCUCUACAAAUUGCCUAUUUCAGUUAUUUAGCCCCAUUUUUUUCCCAGAGAUGGUGUGUUUCGUAUAAUCAAUAGCUACAAAAUAAAAGCAGCAUCUGCCUUGC
Homo sapiens (human) is the source of this 1230-nucleotide long non-coding RNA. RefSeq lists it as uncharacterized. The transcript is spliced from 2 exons. NCBI's taxonomy places the organism in Eukaryota, Metazoa, Chordata, Mammalia, Primates, Hominidae. The record is from RefSeq and is a predicted model, not a curated record.